GACGAACGCUGGCGGCGUGCUUAACACAUGCAAGUCGAACGGUGAAGCGCCUUCCUUUUUGGUGGGUGUGGAUGAGUGGCGAACGGGUGAGUAACACGUGAGUAACCUGCCCCCUUCUUCUGGAUAACCGCAUGAAAGUGUGGCUAAUACGGGAUAUUCUGGGUCUGUCGCAUGAUGGGUCUGGGAAAGAUUUUGUUUCGGUGGGGGAUGGGCUCGCGGCCUAUCAGCUUGUUGGUGGGGUGAUGGACUACCAAGGCGGUGACGGGUAGCCGGCCUGAGAGGGUCGACGGUCACACUGGGAAGGAGACACCGCCCAGCCUACUACGGGAGGCAGCAGUGGGGAAUACUGCACAAUGGGAGCAAGGCUGAUGCAGCGACGCGGCGGGAGGGAUGGAGGCCGGAGGGUUGUGAACCUCUUUCGCCAGUGAAGCAGGCCUGCCUCGUUUGUGGGUGGGUUGACGGUAGCUGGAUAAGAAGCGCCGGCUAACUACGUG
This 494-nucleotide ribosomal RNA is filed under the name uncultured bacterium. RNAcentral describes it as "partial 16S ribosomal RNA". It matches the Rfam family "Bacterial small subunit ribosomal RNA", at positions 28 to 507 of the family's 1533-position model. The record is from RNAcentral.